AACAAAUGCAGUCUCUUCUUGAACUCUGCUAGUUGUGCCAGAUGCCUUUCAUGGAUUCUCCAAACCACAGUAGUUUAAGUUCUCAAAAUUCUGAUGAUACAUAAAGAUAGCAGAAAGUAAUAUUAUGUGGUAGAUUGCUUUUUGGAGCUAUUUCAUGGACUAUGGAAUACUUAAAGAUAUAAAAUGUAAUAAAAACAUGUGUUAGACAAAUGAGAACACAGGAAAUCUGAGGUAAUUUCCCUCUGGGAUCCUGAAAAUGUUAUGGGUUAUGUGGCUGCAACUUUCCCCAAGAGGCUGCAAUGACAUUUGUGGAAUCACUUCUAGGUGCUCUGUUCAUGCCGCACUGUCUUCGGUGUUUUCUUUCAUCUCUGGCACUCAGUGAAAUAACCUUAAAGUAUUCUUGGAAGACUAAUGGCCUGUGUAAUGUUUGAAAGGUUGGCUGUGGGAAAAGUUCCAGUUGAUGCCUGCUUGACUCACACUUGAGGACUUGACAGUUUGGUAACUAGGUCACUCUAGUGUCAGUCUUCUGAAACUGUGACAGUUUUUGUGGUUUCUAUGUUCAGUCUUGCACUCAGCUUAUAUCCUAUAUAUCCAUGCUAAACAUCCAUGCCUAUUACUUUUCUUUGUAUUCUUUUGAAGAUCUCGCAGUUGUUUACGGUGGCAUGGUAGGAGGGCUUCUGGGGAGAUCAAUUAGAAUUCUUACCGUUGAAUGAAGACUCUUAACACGCAGCCCUGCCCACUUCUAGUUCACAAAUAUUGAAAUAGAUUAUUUUUCAAAACAUAAGGAGUGUAAUCAGCUUCGUGAUUUUUAGCGGAGUUAACGAAAUAAGCAACUGUGAGGGUGGAUACUCUCCACUGCUUUGAGGCAACUGAAGAUUGUUUUUAACUUCAGUUACUGAUGCAGGAGGUGCAGGAUAACCUGGAAUAGAGGUCAUGAGGCGGCUGAAUUAUAGGAUAUAAGGAAGAAAUCUUUUACAGUGAGAGUAGUGAAGCACUAGAACAGAUUGCCCAAAGAGGUGGUGGAUGCCCCAUGCUUGGAAACAUUCAAGGCCAGGCUGAUGCUAAAAAGUGCUUACUCUGAGGCACCAGUUAGUCAGUAUGGAAUAGAGAUGGCUGUGAAAUGAACUUUCAGUAACUCUGUGGAGGGAUGGAGCCAGACAAUUUACAUUGCCAUAUGCAGGUGCAUGGGAUCUGGUGAGGAUUUGGUUGGGUAUAAGAAGCAACUUUCUCAGUCAGGCAGAAUGAACAGGGUGCUCAGUGAGGCUGUGCAGGCUUCACCCUGGGACAUGUCCUGGGUUUGACUGGAUCAGGCUAGGCUGAACCUGCAGGAUGUUGGACUAGAGUCUGCCCAAGGGACCUUAAAACCUGAAUUUGCUAUGAUUCUUGUCUCCUAUUUGUGUAGUAGUCUUCUGCUUUUUCUUCACUACAUCAAAUCAAGGAGAACAAUACAUUGAAGAAAAAAUAAAAAAGGACACUGUGAGAAUAGGGGAUUAACUAUCUCCC
Long non-coding RNA from Gallus gallus (chicken), 1503 nucleotides. NCBI's taxonomy places the organism in Eukaryota, Metazoa, Chordata, Aves, Galliformes, Phasianidae. The record is from Ensembl.